This is a long non-coding RNA of Bombus terrestris (buff-tailed bumblebee), 9019 nucleotides long. RefSeq lists it as uncharacterized. The record is from RefSeq and is a predicted model, not a curated record. The transcript has 2 exons. NCBI's taxonomy places the organism in Eukaryota, Metazoa, Arthropoda, Insecta, Hymenoptera, Apidae.
UUUAUUUCCAAUAGCACCCUGUGUUUGCAUGUGCCACGUAACAAUCACAUCGAUAUAUCCCUCAAAGAGAUAAAAAGCAUCGCGUCCUCGCCGGAUUCGCGCUAUAACGCGGGACGACGCGACGCCUGCGCCGAGUGCGCGGGAGAGGUGCGAGAAGGCGCUGCUGCGUCCACGUACACGCGACCGAGGGAGUAGGACGCACGGACGUGCGGAGGGAGGGCGGGUGGGAAGGAGGGUAGGGGAGGAGGGCGGGAGGAAUAGUGGGGAAGGGUGAGCCCGGUGGGAGGCAAGGAUUCGUGUCAUUGUCAGUGGGUAAUCAGGUCAGUGGGCCAGUGGGACGACCACUUUCAAUUUCAGUCCUUCUAGCUGUGCAACUCGCCGUGCCGCGCGUCGCGCGUUAUCUCGCGCUCUCGCUCUCCGUCUCCCUCUUUCUCCCCGCCGCCGCGAUACGUUCGUCUCUUUUGCCUCGCGAUGUUCACGCGACUCUAUCCGCCGUCCGUGUCGUUUCUGUGCUGUUUGUUAAUAUCGCGGUACAUACAUACGUACUCGUAGCUCGUGGUUCCUCUCGAGGGCGUCGUGGUUACUGGUAGAGGGAGGCAAAGAGGGUGUAGUGGAGGGGGGGGGGAAGUAGAGGCGCGAAGUCGUAAACGUGGCAGAAGUAUGAGUCGCGAGAAAAAGAAGGAGGAUGCAAGAGGGGAGAGGGGGAAGUCCUGACACGCGCCAAUCACAUCAUGUUUCUUCGGUUGCAAACGUGUACCGAGCAGUACGCGGUUUAACAGAAAGAAGCGAGAGAGAGUGAUAGGGAGAGUGACAGGAUGGCGGCAUGCGGGACAAAGGGCGAGGGGAAGGAUGAUGCACGCGCGAUCGCGCUAGCUCGCUCGCCCGACGGCGCUCGCUCGUUCUCUCGCACGGACGCCGGGAAAGAUAGCAGAAAGUAGGACGCGUAUUAAAAACCACAGACCGUGUCCCGUGGCGUCACUUCUCGUGCCUCGCCGCGGCGCGUCGGUAUUACCCAAUCGAAUUCAUCAUAACUGGCACGAGAAACGUACGAGCGAGCAAAUGAACGAACGAAUCGACGGACAUAUGGAGACAUGGACGAGUUGUCGAAUUGAAAAAGAGAAAGGGAGGGGGAGAACUAUACGACGUUUAAAAGAGAGAGGUAAUUUCGGUGAUAAGCGCGAUCAGCGCCAAGGCGCGGUGAUCGAUGGAAACACGGACGCCCAGUAUCUUACGAUCUAUGAUAAAACUUUCGAUUUCGAUGCGUCGAUCGCGAGAUCCGUGUAACGCCGCGGCCAAGCACUACGGUGAAUCGUGCUUUCUUAUUUUCAGUGUUUAGCCGAGGAGAAGAAACGAGUCACUUCCUCUCAUUAUUGCAUUCCCAAACGAAAUUUUUGCACGCACAAGUUCCAGAGAAAUAUUACCCGAGUGCUAAAUUUAGCGACUGAUCGAAACGAGACCAACGCCGUGGUGCGGCGAUCGCGAGAAUUAUAAAAGGUGCGAGCGCGCCUCUUCCGCUCGAAUCAAUGAUCCUUAAUUACGUUUGAAAAUUAAGCUGACGCCAAAGUAUCGCGCAACGAGUAAAUGAAUUUUCCUAAGGAAUUAGGUCAUGCCCUUGAAGAGUUAUUCGUGAAAGCUAAAGAAAUUUCGGCAUCGACUAUACACGCUUCAUCGACUAUUAUUUGACGACGUUUAAGUAAGUACGAUCUGAUCUUCCAAUAUAAGCUUACAAAUCCACCAAAAUUUCAUCUUUUCGGCAUGAACAAAUUUAUAUCGGACAAGAUCGAAUCUGUGACCUAAAAAAUCUAUCGAAGAAACGGAGAACGUUGUUGUUUGCAUAUCGAACGCUCGUAAAUUUACCAAACUAUAUCGAUAGAGGUAAACAAAAGUUACAAAGAUUGUUCCCUUCUCUUAAAAUUAUUACACCAGCCUAUUCAACGCGCAUGGCUGAAUAAAUCGAACGUUUCCGCGAUGCUAAACAUUUUAACACCCCGGCUACUUUGAAUGUCGCGCGCAUGCGCCCAGUUGUACGGAUAGCAAUUCUUAUAUGCGAUCCUUUGGACAAGCUUUUAGAUGUUGAUACCAUUGGGAGGGCGCCACAAGUUAGGAGAAGCAAUUUGGCGAUGCGAGAUAUGUACACGUAUAUGGUCUACUUUUCGAAGUCGGACCGCGUAGACGCGAUUCGAGCGCGCAUUCAAGUACGUCUUGCUUUGCAUUUGCAAGUACAAUGAAAUUAUGCAAGCGUGUUAUAUUGCAAUUAUAUGUACUCGCAAUAAAUCGGUAAUAACGGAAUAAUAGCCGUUACUAAUACACCGGGAAUGCGAGCUGGGAUAUUUCCAACGGCAUACAUUUAGUAACGGUGAUCAUAACACGGAGACUUACGAUCCAAUAAUACAAUUUGUAAUACGGUACUACAGAAAAGAAUUGUUUUUACAAUUACUUUAAAAAAGACACAUUAGAAAUAAAUCUGUUAUACUUAUUACAUAUACAGAAAUAAAUCUGUUAUGCUUAGACUGCGAACGUUUAUGCAAUUUUAUUUUAUUAUGGGAAAUUUUAAUGUACAAUAACAUAACGUAAUAUAGACGAUAUACAUAAUAUAAGAGUGAGCACGAUACGAAAGAAUAUAUGCAAUAAGAAAAUAUGCAAAGUGAUACACCUGUCGUAAUAUUUAAAGACCAAACCUAAUUUCUCUUUACAAUGUAUGCUUGAUUGUUGUGUCUAUAAAAAUUUCAAUGUACAUAAACAUUUACAGUCUAGUUAUAACUACUUCAAGUCUUGUCAAUGAAUUAUGUAAUUUCAUACGAUUAAAAGUAAUAAACGCACUUUAAUAAGAUGAGCAACAUAACUGAAACUUAUUUGUAAAAUCAGUGGAAUUCGAUCGUACCAUGAUUAUGAUGCAAGAGGGUAAAAGCUGACGUGGACACGAGGGAUGAAGGUUCGGCAUCGAUAAAUUCGCCAACGUAUCUAUACCGGUGCUGUAGCCCGCUGGGGACGUUGAAUAAUAAUUAUUGUUAUUGGCUCGGCUUGGGUGUUAUUGAGUUAUUCCAAUGCGAGUUUAUCAAAGUGGGUCAAGCGAUUCAAUAGCGACCGCCGUGGAGGAGAAACGACCCAUCGUCUUAACGUGGCGUGGGAGUGUACGUAUAGCAGUAAAAUAAUGUGCACACGAUCAAACACACACCGGCAAACGCCACCGAAUUGGUACACGUAUAAAAAGUGACGAACAACCAGACCGUAAAAUCGGCACUACUAUUACGAGGAACAAUUAUAACGAUGAUAUUUCUUUAUAUUAUUCGAAGAAAAUUGGUGGAAAAAAUUGGAUCAAUUUACUCGGGAAAAACAGGAACGCAGGAGAAACAGAAUUCGUGAAACGUAAAAUCGUUAUCUAAUUGAAAUCGUGGAAAAAACAAAUGUUGAUUCGGAGCUUGGUGCGAGUUAUAAUCUCGGUAACGAUUCCGUAUGUAUACAUUUGCUCUUCAAUCCGUAAAGUCCGCUAAUGACUCACUCACUCCACCUUCCGUACGCUCAUUAUCCGUCGCUAAUUAUCAUAAAUCCCAGCUCAAUCACGAGAAUAGAAUGGCAAUGUUAAUAGACACCUUUUCGGACAAACAACGGUCACACGUAACCAACGUAAUUUCGUCACGGGAUUUUCACAGGCAGUCGAGAGAGAGAGAGACUAAUUAUCCGGCUUUCCAUUAGCAACAGGUAGAACGACGGACGAGCCAUAAAUUCCUGUAGGAAAGCGAGGAAACCGGAUUUUCUUCGCUCUUGGUGAGAGUUGGAACAACACUCGAUUGUUGCAUAAUAGGGACAACAAGGAUAAGAGGCGUGUGUCCUCGGUCAGACUGGCAAUAAACAAACAAAGAAUAUUUGACUGAGAUGUCAUGGGUAAAUAAGUAAACUGACGACAAGUGAAAAUACAGCCCAAGUCCCCUAGAGAGAAACGAAAUCACGAGUCACGAGAGAACCGAAGAAAAUGAAAAAGGUCGCGUGUCUAUAUUGGAGAUCGCUUUCGAAGUCACCGGAUGAUAUUGUAAAAAGAAGCGAAGAAUUAUUAAGGAAGUUUACCAUCAUUCACGCUACGCAUGUGAUUUACAUGUUAUUUAACCUUCCGUAAGCAAACUGGCUAGUUAUGUCCGAAUGUUUUUUUACUGUUAUUUAUUAUUAUAUUAUUACAUUAUUAUUUUACUGUUUCCGACUUCGAAAAGAUCCUCAAGCUAUCCUGAAAUAGUUAUCAAUGUUUUUACUACGCCAAAUGUUUGAAAUAUUCCUCAAUAAAAAUAGACAUUCUUUUUGGAGAAAUUGUAGAAUGAAAUUUAAAUUAGAUUCUCAACUACUCGAUUUGCCUACGAAAGAUUAAAUGUACUAAGAAUACGGAUAUCGAAAAUGAGACUUCCGGGGAAAUAACUGUUUGCAAGGUAUCAGAGGAUUAUAUUAUUCCUUCCAAAACCGUAUGGUAUUGAAUCGUCACAGAUUCGAAUAUGUGUACUAAGCAUACAUUCACACUAAUCAACUACUUUAGAUAUGGUUAGUUUCAAUGUAGUUACACGUCUUAAUGCAACAAGAACCAAUUGUACAUAACCACUUGAAGCAACCACGUAGAAAAGAUUGUAUUACGAAAUGUCUUGUACAGAAGUUCUAUAUGCCUCGAAACGCAUGCACGAUGCGCUCGCAAAAAGGGUAGUACCUAAAGAAUAUGUAAAGCAGGUUAAACGAUGUAUCGGAGACACAGCCUUGAAUAUUCAUGAAUACUGAACAACUUUUUUGGAAUGGUAUCACAUUUAAAUUCCACUCGUCCUCUGUUACCGCGUUCUACGCUCUAUUUGUAAGCAUGCACUUUGCACUUUGCUUAACACACGCGUUUCCUAUUGUCGUUACGAUGUUUAAAAAUCAUUUCCUAUCAUUUUCCAAGAGAAACAAUAUCUAAAGAAAAGAAGGGACCUUGGGUAAAAUUUGCACCUGUGCCCUGUAGGUCUAUUUCGUACCCCUUACUGUGCGGAUAAUCGUGAUUUAUUGUGUGCAAACAGCGGACCCAAGCGGAAAUGUAACAAGUGAAUUUCGACGCAGCAGGUAGAUGUUGACGUGGUCUAUUGUCGGGAAGAGUGUAUACAUCGUUGAAAGAACCGACCCCAUCCAUUCGACAAGGGAUUGCGACGAAUUCGUGCCGGCCACGUGCCGCCACGCUUACGAAAACCCGAGAAAGCUGCAAUCCCUUAUUCUACAACAUUUUUACUACUCGGAAUAGUACAUAGUAAAAGUUAAAGUGACAGCCAACUUUUACGAGACUAAUACUUUACCUCUGCCUAACAAGAGCAGGAGGACAUCCACGACAAUAGUCAAUGUUACUCGUAAUAUUUCUUCGAGGGAAGACUCUAUUUGGAGUGAAAUACGAUCAUUAUAAAAUUACGAAAAUUGUCUCCUUGAUUCUACGACGAUAGAAUGAUACUGGUAAGGUUGCUUUUGAUCCGUGGAGAAAGGAAAAAUACGAAAAAAUUACGUAGUCAUAUUUUCUUACACUGCCACUGAAAAGUAUUUGGCCACUUUAUCUUUAAAGCUUAACUAAGUAAAGCUUAUUUUUCACGUAAUUUAAUUAAAAAGAAAUUACAAAUAAAAAUUACGUAUUCAUAAAUAAUGUCUACAUUCCGUGGGUAUUAUUAUUUUAUCAUCACUAUAUAUAAGGUUUCCUUUAUAUAACCAAUAUUAGUUAUACGUAUUAAUACAUAUGCAAUGAAAUGUUGGCAUCCACGAGAAUAAACGUAACCCUAACCAAGUUAUGACACAAUUUUUGAACAAAAUUUACGAAACAUUCCGGUGAAGCUAUUUAUCCCCGGACUAUCUUCAAGUUUCUAAAAUACAGAUCAGAUAGAUUCUUGUAAACUUGUAUCAUAUUUGACUCGAACAAUAACGUUUCAAACUAAUAGAUGCAUCGAUGAAUAUCGCGUUUCAAAUUUUAAUACAUUGUCGGUCGAUUUUCAAACAAUUAAUAAAAUGUAUUAUUUGUUGAUUCGCUAAGAAGAUAAAUCCGUUAAAAUGUUGGGAAACUAUAGAAAAUUUGAAAGUGGCAAAAUGCACAGAAUACGCAUAAUUCACAAGGCUAUACAAAAUACUUGAAAUAUUCGUAUACGGCUAAUUAUAAUAUCUAGCGCUAGAAAUAAAUGAAUUUGUUUAAGUCUUAUCUCCACAGUGGCAUUCACAAAAAUGUAAAUUCGCGUAAGCACCCAUAGUCUAGUUAUAGGUGAUAGUGUAGGUUAAAUCGCAAAAUUAUUUUCAUUUUCGUUGAAAUGAACUCGACUCUUGGCCGUUUGUCCGAUUUUAGAACUCUCUUUUAACGAAGCAAAGGGUCGAGAUGAGUCUGUUUAUAGAGAGAGAAAUUUCGAGCGUUCGUGUCCCCUUUGGGUUUGUCUGGUUCGCGAAGCGUGUCGUCGGGGUCCGGAUGAAAGUAAAAGUAAAAGUACCGAGAAUGGGCGCCAAAGUAUACGUGCACGUGUGUACCGCGAUCUGGUCGCGUGAAACGCGACCGUCGAAGGGGGACGCGGCUCGCCACCCGUUUUUCCGACCUUUGAAAUUGUACAAACGCAUUUCUAGAAUGGCACUACGACGUUCGCCGAGUGCUUUCACCAGUGUCGAUGCGUCGUGAGCUCUCUGACGUAACCAGUUUCACUGGAACGCGUCUCUCCCAUAACACAGACCUAAUUUUUAAUCGACGUCAACCUGUUUCGAAGCGAUUACACGAUGCAGCUCGUCAAGGUGACGAUUAAGCAAUUACCAAAAUUAAGGCUUCCGGAUGCAAGUUGUUUGUAUUCUAAUUUUUUCUAAAUACUACUGUUAAUAUUAUUAUUCAUAUAUAUAGAGAGUAUUUGUCGCGUUUUUUUUUUUUUUUUUUUAUCGCAAAUAGUAGAUUUAUGAACAAAGUUAAAAGAACAAAGUUUUACUAUCUUUUAUACAAUAGUUUGAAUAGAUCUUCUUUCAUUGUUCUUCGCUUGCGCGGUAUUAAAGAAAUUACGAAUAUUCUUAAUUAGCAACGAACAUUUUUACACUGCAUCGUGAAUGUAAAAAUGAAUUGAAUAUUUUUCUUACAAAUCUAUCAUUUACGAGGAAACUGGUGAAGGCUAAGGCCGGGUGCAGACGAGCGACUUUUUGACGUUGCAUUUUCGCUGCAUCGUAUAUCUGUCCUCGUUGUGUUUAACUGGGGAAAUAAAGAGAGACGUAUGACGCAGCGAGAACGCAGCAGGAAAAAAGUUGUCUGUCUGCACCGGGCCUAAUAGCACGAACUUGUAUGUAUUAAUGUAUCAUUCGAUAAUAAUUUUGAUCUCUGACGAAAAUGAAACUUUCAGAAUAUUUCUUUGAAAACGGCAUGAAACAAGAGUCACAAUUUUAAAGAUUGUACAUUAAUUGACUAUGAACGCCAUAAAACUCUAUAUAAAGAAGGUGAUGAAUUUUACAAUAGGAAAGGAACGCGUGAAAAUCGAAAGAAAAAAACGCUAUCGAAUCUUUGCAGCCGAGUCGGAAAGAUAUUUCCGGUUGAUAAUUCCAUAUCAUUUCCUAUGUUAUCUGGUGCACCGCUAAUUUUACAAGUAUAUCGCUCGCGAGUUAUAGCAGAUUGUGUAACUUUUUAAUAUCAGGAAAAAGAGAGAAAAUAGAUGUUUUAUAUCUUUCUAUCUUACUUAACGAACACUCCAUUAAAUCGAUUCGAAAUAGAACUAGCUAGUCACAGAUCGAGUAUACGAAAUGAGAAAUAAAGAUCGUAAUUCGUAUUUUAAUAUUUACGAAAGUUUCUUAAGAAUUGUUAUGACGACUAUACAUAUCCAUAUUCUUAUGAGCAACCUAAGCAGAAAUUUAUUUCACCUAUUAAACGUUAUAACGAGUAUUACACUUUAAGUAUUUUAUAUACGUUUGCAUAUUAUAUGCAUUUUGCAAAUUUCGCAAACAGUCCAAUGAUAACUUAUGUAAAAGGUAAUUGUAACUCGACUAUACAUUCGAAAGAUACUUGGCAAGAGUCGUGUAACGUUUCAGUGACUCUUUCCCAUUCUUUUCAGGUGGUUGGUGAUCAAGCUCGGCUCUGUAUCGCGGACGAAUUGCCACGCUCGAGUAGAUUUAACACCGGCUGCGCAAGUACCGGUAGCUGUUCGAAACGGGAGCGUUAAUUGUAAACGCGGCUAAAGGGGACGCGGGACAAAGAACGAACAACGUGACGGAAAAGGGAAAAAAAGGAAAAAAGAGAAGGCGGAGAAGUAAAAGAAACGAAAGACGGGAAAAACAAACGAAAUAGAACGGACGAUCGUAAGCCCAGAAAAUAGAGUGCAAACUGCCCUUGACGCGAACGAGAAGCAGAGCUUGUAUCUUUGUAACGAGCCCGCGUAAUCGCGCAAUGCCGCCAAUGCCACAAUGCAGCUAAUUAUCAGCAUUAAUGCUGGCGAGAGUCAUGAAUAUUCAUACUUGACAUCUUUAUCGAGCAGCGGGAAAUUGGAGUCGUUAUACGCGGGCCUCCUUUUUGACCCACCUAUCCACGCGAAUCGAUAUGUGACCCGUGCCACGGUUAAGGAAAUUAAAACUUCUCCCCUUCUAUGUAUAUAUACCUAUGUAUAUCUACAAUUUUCUUCAAUCUCGUGUAAAAUAUAGCGUGAACCAGAAUAGUUGUAGAGAUUAGAAGAAAGAAUGAAUGUAUAAAAAAGAGUGGAGGAGUGGACUUGUGCGAAUGACAAAGAGGGAGUGUGCAAUUAAAUUAUAAGAUUAAAUUUAAGUAAUUAAAUAUAGAGUAAAUAGAGUACAGUUAAGUGUAAGUUUAAGUAUAUAUAUAUAUUAUAUAUUUAUUUACAUUAUAUAUUUUAUAUUACAUACUACAUUAUAUAUAUACAUAAUGAUCUAAUGUAUAUAGAAACUGCGUAACAGUAUGAAUGAGACAUCUAUGUAAAUCAAUCUCUGUUUUUAACCGGCAAAAAUUAAUAAUAUAUAUGUAUAUAAAUUACGUGAACAUAAAUUCGUGGUAUGAGUGAAAAAUAAGGCAAAAAUGAAGGGUAACAAAAUU